RNAcentral lists this ribosomal RNA (252 nucleotides) under uncultured bacterium. RNAcentral describes it as "partial 16S ribosomal RNA". It matches the Rfam family "Bacterial small subunit ribosomal RNA", at positions 524 to 776 of the family's 1533-position model. The record is from RNAcentral.
UACGAAGGGGGCUAGCGUUGUUCGGAAUUACUGGGCGUAAAGCGCACGUAGGCGGAUAUUUAAGUCAGGGGUGAAAUCCCAGAGCUCAACUCUGGAACUGCCUUUGAUACUGGGUAUCUUGAGUAUGGAAGAGGUAAGUGGAAUUGCGAGUGUAGAGGUGAAAUUCGUAGAUAUUCGCAGGAACACCAGUGGCGAAGGCGCUUACUGGUCCAUAACUGACGCUGAUGCGCGAAAGCUAGGGGAGCAAACAGG